This is a long non-coding RNA of Trifolium pratense (red clover), 482 nucleotides long. RefSeq lists it as uncharacterized. The record is from RefSeq and is a predicted model, not a curated record. The transcript is spliced from 2 exons. Lineage: Eukaryota; Viridiplantae; Streptophyta; Magnoliopsida; Fabales; Fabaceae.
UUAAAAAAAGGAAAAUAAUGAAAGGAUUGUCCUUAUCUAUUGAGCGAGCUAAAUAGGCAAAAAUGAAAAAUUGAUCACCUAUGAUACAUUUUUUUUAAGAUAUAUAAGUGCAAAAAAUUGAAACAAAUAAACAAAACAUAGUACAUUUAUAAACAUUUCUAUAGGAGAAAAAUAUGUCUCAAAUUUUUAAGUUCGUUUAUUUAGUGAUCUUUUUAAUUUUCUUAUUUCUUGUUGUAGUUGAUGCUAGUGAAAUUGCAAGGAUGAGGUGCAAAGAUGAUUCUCAUUGUUCCAAGUAUGUGUGCGAACAUCCUUUUGUUCCAAAAUGUGUUUUUCAUCAAUGUAGAUGUCGUUAAUUAUAAGCAAACUCAAUUCUAAGAGAUUUGUAUUGUAAUCUGAAAUGAUGAAGCAAAUAUUUCAUCUGGAAUUGUUAUAAAAUAGCCAUUAGAGCUACCGUUAUUAAUAAUAGAAUUUAUUCUCUUGCA